Molecule: ribosomal RNA, 253 nt
Filed under: uncultured bacterium
Lineage: Bacteria
Description: partial 16S ribosomal RNA
Rfam family: Bacterial small subunit ribosomal RNA
Source: RNAcentral
UACGGAGGGUGCAAGCGUUAAUCGGAAUCACUGGGCGUAAAGCGCAUGUAGGCUGCUUUAUAAGUCAGGGGUGAAAGCCCACAGCUCAACUGUGGAACUGCCUUUGAUACUGUAGAGCUUGAGUCUGUGAGAGGGUAGUGGAAUUCCAGGUGUAGGGGUGAAAUCCGUAGAGAUCUGGAGGAACAUCAGUGGCGAAGGCGACUACCUGGUGCAGUACUGACGCUGAGAUGCGAAAGCGUGGGGAUCAAACAGG